RNAcentral lists this non-coding RNA (781 nucleotides) under Ixodes angustus. The record is from RNAcentral. Lineage: Eukaryota; Metazoa; Arthropoda; Arachnida; Ixodida; Ixodidae.
UAGACGAAUAGGAAUGACUUUCAAAUUUGACUAUACCUUUCCCUUCUUAAAAUUAAAAAAAGAAAGGAAAGGUAUAAAAUAAUUUAAAUAUAGUUUUUUAAAAAAAUUUUUUAAAUUUUCUUUAUAUUAUAAAUUGUUAAUUUUGUCAAAUAGAAGAAAUAUUUAUAAUAUUAUAAAUAGUAAAAUAGAGAUUUAAAUAAAGAUUUGGCGAAAUUUGUGCCAGCUGCCGCGGUUAUACAAAUAAAUCUAUUUUUUAUUGUUAUUUUAAUAAAAGUUGUUAUUUUUUUGAAAGUUUAUUAAGGUGAAAUUUAUAACUUCAAUUAUAAAUUAAUUGAUUUUAAAGAAAUUUAAAUUUUAAACUAGGAUUAGAUACCCUAUUAUUUUAAGCUCAAUAUUGUUAGUAUGUAAUAUAUAUGAAAUCAUAAGAUUUUGGCGGUAUUUUAAGCUUUUUAGAGGAAUUUGCUCUGUAAUGGAUAAAACGCCUAAAUCUUACUUAAUUUGGUUAAAUCAGUUUGUAUACCACUAUAUUUAAUUAUAUUGAAUAGUAAUAUUUAAGAUUUUUUUAUAAAAAUUAUAUUAAGUCAAGGUGCAAUAUAAAAUUAUGAAUGAAGUGAAUUACAUUGAUUUUAAUUGAUUAUUGUGAAAAUUUAAAUAAAGGAUUUAAAAGUAAAUUAUUAAUAAAAUGAAUAAUUGAAUAAAGCUCUAGGAUAUGCACAUAUCGCCCGUCGCUCUCAAAUUUGAGAUAAGUCGUAACAAAGUAAAAGUACUGGAAAGUGUUUUU